GAUGAACGCUGACAGAAUGCUUAACACAUGCCAGUCAACUUGAACUUCGGUUUGGGCGGCGGACGGGUGAGUAACGCGUAAAGAACUUGCCUCACAGAUAGGGACAACAUUUGGAAACGAAUGCUAAUACCUGAUCUUAUGAUUAUAUGGCAUCGUAUAAUUAUGAAAGCUAUAUGCGCUGUGAGAGAGCUUUGCGUCCCAUUAGCUAGUUGGCGAGGUAACGGCUCACGAAGGCGAUGAUGGGUAGCCGGCCUGAGAGGGUGACCGGCCCCAAAGGGACACGGGCGGGACCAGUAGGGAAUAGGGGGGCAUGGGUGGAGAACAGAGGCAGACGGGCCAAGAGUGUGAUGAAGGAAUUCGGUUUGUACAAUGAAGUUUUUCGGAAUGAAAAGUGCUUUGAGUUGAGAAGAAAAAAAUGACGGUACCAACAGAAGAAGCGACGGCUAACUACGUG
RNAcentral lists this ribosomal RNA (454 nucleotides) under uncultured bacterium. Its description in RNAcentral is "partial 16S ribosomal RNA". It matches the Rfam family "Bacterial small subunit ribosomal RNA", at positions 28 to 507 of the family's 1533-position model. The record is from RNAcentral.